This 133-nucleotide small RNA is filed under the name Klebsiella variicola. RNAcentral's name for it is "RtT sRNA". It matches the Rfam family "RtT RNA". From Rfam's summary of the family: This family represents a bacterial cis-regulatory element known as RtT RNA. The record is from RNAcentral. RNAcentral also lists the same sequence under 3 other names. Lineage: Bacteria; Pseudomonadati; Pseudomonadota; Gammaproteobacteria; Enterobacterales; Enterobacteriaceae.
UGUUUGCACUUAGCGGGAAGGGUAAGAACCUUCGACUAAGGUUCGACUCGAGCGCCAGCGAGAGAACGUUGCCACAGGCAACGGCCCGAAGGGCGAGGAGCGAUAGCGACGAGUUAUCCUUCCCCCAGCACCA